UAUUGCGGAAGCUCAACACUGGAGUUCGUUUGGAACGAUACACAGAAGAUUAGCAUGGCCCCUGCUCAAAGAUGAUAUGCACAAUCGAGAAAUGGUCCAAAUUUUU
RNAcentral lists this small nuclear RNA (106 nucleotides) under Nicotiana sylvestris (wood tobacco). Lineage: Eukaryota; Viridiplantae; Streptophyta; Magnoliopsida; Solanales; Solanaceae. RNAcentral also lists the same sequence under 1 other name. The record is from RNAcentral.